This 75-nucleotide transfer RNA is filed under the name Mekongiana xiangchengensis. Its description in RNAcentral is "tRNA-Trp". Lineage: Eukaryota; Metazoa; Arthropoda; Insecta; Orthoptera; Pyrgomorphidae. The record is from RNAcentral.
AAGGACUUAAGUUAAAAUUGUUAAUAAAACUAAUAGCCUUCAAAGUUACAAUUAAAAGAGAUCUUUUAGGCCUUA